UACGAAGGGGGCUAGCGUUGUUCGGAAUUACUGGGCGUAAAGGGCGCGCAGGCGGCCAUUCAAGUCAGAUGUGAAAGCCCCGGGCUCAACCUGGGAACUGCAUUUGAGACUGAACGGCUAGAGUUCGGGAGAGGAGAGUGGAAUUCCCAGUGUAGAGGUGAAAUUCGUAGAUAUUGGGAAGAACACCCGUGGCGAAGGCGGUUCUCUGGGACGGUACUGACGCUGAGACGCGAAAGCGUGGGGAGCGAACAGG
This 253-nucleotide ribosomal RNA is filed under the name uncultured bacterium. Its description in RNAcentral is "partial 16S ribosomal RNA". It matches the Rfam family "Bacterial small subunit ribosomal RNA", at positions 524 to 776 of the family's 1533-position model. The record is from RNAcentral.